GAUGAACGCUAGCUACAGGCUUAACACAUGCAAGUCGAGGGGAAACGAUAGAGAAAGCUUGCUUUUUCUAGGCGUCGACCGGCGCACGGGUGAGUAACGCGUAUCCAACCUGCCCAUCACUUGGGGAUAACCUUGCGAAAGUAAGACUAAUACCCAAUGAUGUCUCUAGAAGACAUCUGAAAGGGAUUAAAGAUUUAUCGGUGAUGGAUGGGGAUGCGUCUGAUUAGCUUGUUGGCGGGGUAACGGCCCACCAAGGCGACGAUCAGUAGGGGUUCUGAGAGGAAGGUCCCCCACAUUGGAACUGAGACACGGUCCAAACUCCUACGGGAGGCAGCAGUGAGGAAUAUUGGUCAAUGGACGAGAGUCUGAACCAGCCAAGUAGCGUGCAGGAAGACGGCCCUAUGGGUUGUAAACUGCUUUUAUAAGGGAAUAAAGUGAGUCUCGUGAGACUUUUUGCAUGUACCUUAUGAAUAAGGACCGGCUAAUUCCGUGCCAGCAGCCGCGGUAA
RNAcentral lists this ribosomal RNA (508 nucleotides) under uncultured bacterium. Its description in RNAcentral is "partial 16S ribosomal RNA". It matches the Rfam family "Bacterial small subunit ribosomal RNA", at positions 28 to 523 of the family's 1533-position model. The record is from RNAcentral.